RNAcentral lists this ribosomal RNA (254 nucleotides) under uncultured bacterium. RNAcentral describes it as "partial 16S ribosomal RNA". It matches the Rfam family "Bacterial small subunit ribosomal RNA", at positions 524 to 776 of the family's 1533-position model. The record is from RNAcentral.
GACGAACCGUCCAAACGUUAUUCGGAAUCACUGGGCUUAAAGGGCGCGUAGGCGGCCGAGCGGGUCACGGGUGAAAUCCUCCAGCUUAACUGGAGAACUGCCCUUGAUACCACUGCGGCUCGAGGAAGGAAGGGGCAAUCGGAACUGUCGGUGGAGCGGUGAAAUGCGUUGAUAUCGACAGGAACGCCGGUGGCGAAAGCGGAUUGCUGGUCCUUUUCUGACGCUGAUGCGCGAAAGCCAGGGGAGCAAACGGG